AGUCCUGAUGUGCUUAAAAAUGCUGGCGGUGGUGGGCGAACGCGGCGAAGGAGGCCGAGCAGGAGCGGAGAGUCUGCCCCAGGGGCCCCAGAGAAGAGCCCAGGCCUCGGUUUCAGCCCCGGGAGACCCUAAGAGGAGAACCCAGUCGAGCCCCCCCAGACCUCUGACCUACAGAACUUCUGGGCUGCGCCAGAUGAACACGGAGACCUCAGAAGUCGCACGUUUAUAAGAUGGUGGAGCCACCCAUGGAAGCAGUCCGGGUCCCUGAGUCACCACUGGGAGGAGAGCCAUUUCUUGAUU
Molecule: long non-coding RNA, 300 nt
Organism: Diceros bicornis minor
Lineage: Eukaryota; Metazoa; Chordata; Mammalia; Perissodactyla; Rhinocerotidae
Exons: 3
Source: RefSeq, a predicted model, not a curated record